CCCGACUCUUCUUCCCCCUUCUCCUCUCUCUCCCACCCUCCUGCUCCCCUCCCCCGGCGCUCGGCAGGGCAUGGGGUACCCGGCCGAGGGGAGGACCCCUUCCCUCCCCAGGGAGCUGGAAGCUGUGGAGCUUGAGCCCCGGCCGCUCUGCUCUCCUGUGUCCCGGCGCUUCUGAAUCCAGAUCUGCAAACUGAGCAAGUGACGCCCGCCAAGCGGGUUAAAGGAGCGCAGAUGGGUUUCGAGGAGGGUCUUUCGGCAAGUUAAGCUUUUCGCAGGAGUGGCUCCUCCAUAAGAACCCGGAGAGCUAAGAGGCAAGACUGCAACUCCUUAGAGCAAAUGUGUGCAUGCAGAGUUGCUCAAGAGCCUUUGGAAUGCAUUCUGUGACUCAAAAGAAAUUCCCAGGAAUCAGCACUUCAGGACUGAUGGAUCCGUCAAGAAAUGCUCUUGAACACCACGCCCAUCUUUUACUCAUAAACUCAGGCAGAUUGGACUGGGAUUUCUAAGCUUUUGGACUUGAGGCAAAUCAUUGCAAUGUCACCUUCCUCAUCUGUAGCCAAAUGCUUGCAAAGAAUUAAAUCUCAAAGAGUCAUUAACCAAA
Long non-coding RNA from Equus quagga, 598 nucleotides. RefSeq lists it as uncharacterized. NCBI's taxonomy places the organism in Eukaryota, Metazoa, Chordata, Mammalia, Perissodactyla, Equidae. The record is from RefSeq and is a predicted model, not a curated record. The transcript is spliced from 2 exons.